UGCUCUUUCAGCUUGAGCAGUCAGAGAGAAGGGUGGGGCAUUUGCGGGGGUCUGGAUAUAAGCAGAAAGCAGGACUCUGUGGGUCACAGCUGGGGAGCCAGGUCUAGCCACCAUGAAUGGACCCCAUGCUCUGGUCACCAGUGGACUGAAGGUUGUCUGUGAAACAGGCUGUGGCCCAAGUCCUCCCUUCUAGCUCCUCUCAGGUCCUGAGCGCCUCUCAGCAGAGAUGGAGGAACUCUCAUCCAUGGAGACACAGGAACCCCAAGCAGCUAUGAAACGCCCCCAAGACAGGAGGAAGAGUAGGAAUUUACCCAGCCACAUGGGGUUUCUGGCCAGCCAUGUGCAGGGGACAGAUAACGCCAUGGCCAGGCCUUUCCACACCCAACUCGCGUCGGUGACCUCACAAGACACCACUGGAGGCGGCGUUGGCCCCACAGGAGCUCUGUGAUGGGGAAGUGAGGCCUUCUGGAGGCCAGAGUGGCAGGAGGCACUUCAAGGACGUCGUCUUCUGGACUUCCCCCCACGACUCCAGUUUUACUCACAUUCUUCACAGCAGCUGCUGGGACAGGCCUGGGGGCUGCCAGAGAAGAUCAUCAAAAGUCAGCCUGAAGCCAUUGCCAUUGAGCAUGCUGGUCACAGGAGGAUCAGGACCUCUUCUGCUGUCCAGGAGGACAGGGGGCUGCAUCGCAUCCCUUCCCCACAUACGCAACUGAUAUGGCCAAGGACUUACCCUGGGGACCCAUGAGUCAAGAGUAAAUGGAGAGAAACCCCAUUCCGACCUGGCUGGGAGCUGUACGCCCUGGGAGUUUACCUCAGGAAUGCUGUCCAUUCUCCUUACCUGGGAACAAGGGAAAACUGUUCAACAUCAUGGGAAGACCAACAACCUUGGAGCCCUGGAGUCAGUAUACUGGAGACAACCCUUUGUGGCCCCCAACCUGCUUUACUUCUCCAGGCCUGUAAUCUGUAACCAUUCUACCCACUGUUACUCCUUUUUUGCCUACCUGUCCUUCCCCACAUAGCUACCCAAUAUAAACUAUCAUGGGAGUUAAGAGCAGAUUUUUUAGGGAUGACCCCUGAUCUCCCACAAAUCUGGCAAUAUUGGAAUAAAUGUUCAUA
Molecule: long non-coding RNA, 1116 nt
Organism: Molossus molossus (Pallas's mastiff bat)
Lineage: Eukaryota; Metazoa; Chordata; Mammalia; Chiroptera; Molossidae
Exons: 4
Source: RefSeq, a predicted model, not a curated record